This 118-nucleotide small nuclear RNA is filed under the name Zostera marina. Its description in RNAcentral is "U5 spliceosomal RNA". It matches the Rfam family "U5 spliceosomal RNA". Rfam says of the family: U5 RNA is a component of both types of known spliceosome. Lineage: Eukaryota; Viridiplantae; Streptophyta; Magnoliopsida; Alismatales; Zosteraceae. The record is from Rfam by way of RNAcentral.
AGUCAUGUGGUGAACACAGAGCGAACUAUUCUUUCGCCUUUUACUAAAGAAUACCGUGUGUUCGCCAUAUUUUAAUGGCAUAAUGUAAUUUUUGUUGGGUUUUCUCUCUUUGAGAUUU